GAUGAACGCUGGCGGCGUGCCUAACACAUGCAAGUCGAACGGAGUCCAGCCUUUAAGACCUUCGGGUCAAAGAGGGGAAGACUGAGUGGCGGACGGGUGAGUAACACGUGGGCAACCUGGCUCAUAGAGGGGGAUAACAGAGAGAAAUUUCUGCUAAUACCGCAUAAGCACACACUGCCGCAUGGCAGAGGGUGAAAAGAGAAUCGCUAUGAGAUGGACCCGCGUCUGAUUAGCCAGUUGGCAGGGUAAGAGCCUACCAAAGCGACGAUCAGUAGCCGAUCUGAGAGGAUGAACGGCCACAUUGGGACUGAGACACGGCCCAAACUCCUACGGGAGGCAGCAGUGGGGGAUAUUGCACAAUGGGGGGAACACUGAUGCAGCGACGCCGCGUGAGUGAAGAAGUAUUUCGGUAUGUAAAGCUCUAUCAGCAGGGAAGAUAAUGACAGUACCUGAAUAAGAAGCCCCGGCUAACUACGUG
RNAcentral lists this ribosomal RNA (478 nucleotides) under uncultured bacterium. RNAcentral's name for it is "partial 16S ribosomal RNA". It matches the Rfam family "Bacterial small subunit ribosomal RNA", at positions 28 to 507 of the family's 1533-position model. The record is from RNAcentral.